UACGGAGGGGGCGAGCGUUGUUCUGAAUCAUUGGGCGUAAAGGGCGCGUAGGCGGCCGUCCAAGUCGGGUGUGAAAUCCCUCGGCUCAACCGAGGAACUGCACUCGAUACUGGUCGGCUAGAGUCCGGGAGGGGAUGGUGGAAUUCCCAGUGUAGCGGUGAAAUGCGUAGAUAUUGGGAAGAACACCGGUGGCGAAGGCGGCCAUCUGGACCGGAACUGACGCUGAGGCGCGAAAGCCAGGGGAGCGAAUGGG
Molecule: ribosomal RNA, 253 nt
Filed under: uncultured bacterium
Lineage: Bacteria
Description: partial 16S ribosomal RNA
Rfam family: Bacterial small subunit ribosomal RNA
Source: RNAcentral